GACUACCAUGUUUCUUUGCUUAAACUCAAGGAAUUCAAUCUCCUUCUUGCUACCGCACAUCCUCGAGAAAGUACUUUUCAAGGAAUUGCACCUUAAACACAACAUAAGUGAUCUCAGCAUCAAUAACCUCUAGUCUAUGUCAUGCAUUGUCCCACUAGUCUUUAGCUUCCUCAUAUAACAUAUAAGUCCCAAACAAUAUGUUUGGUUCCUCAGUACAUGUCAUCACUCUGAAAAUCUUAUCGAUUUAUC
Molecule: long non-coding RNA, 249 nt
Filed under: Lathyrus oleraceus (garden pea)
Lineage: Eukaryota; Viridiplantae; Streptophyta; Magnoliopsida; Fabales; Fabaceae
Description: Pisum sativum (pea) long non-coding RNA (PSAT_LNC019302)
Source: RNAcentral